GCUCUCCCUGCAGUUCCAGAAGCUCACUGCGCACCUGUUGUUGAUGAAACCACUCCGUGAAAGGCUGGUAUCCUAACAACCAGGGACAUUUGUUUAUAAGAUAGCGAUGGAGCACAGCUGUCAGAGUGAAAUCCCGGCUGACUGACUGACUGCAUAAAAUGCCAUGAGAAACACCUGUCUCAUCAAGGACAUUAAAAAGAUAUUCAACAGAACAGUGUUUGUUCAGACCUGUGGUUCCAAUAACAACAAGAAGAAAUUCCAACAACAAGAAGAAACAAAUGGAAAUCUGCCAGCAACGAAGGCGUACCACAGUGCAAAUCAACUCAGUAGGACUAGAUCACCCUUCGUGAAACAGGCUCUUAUCAUGCAAAGCAAAGGACUUAACCCUAACCCACAGUUAAGCACCUCCACAUAUAACAUCUCAUGAAGGCCAGACCUAAAGGACAUUUGGGAGCUCAUAGCAGUGCUGCUAUGAGACACUUCUUGAUCAAGAAGAAGGCCAGACCUUGCUCUUCUUUAUUCCAAAAUACUUUGAGUACAUAUGACAAUUUCUCAAUCAAUAGACUCCUCAAUUUAUGAAUUACUUUUGCUCAAUGCAUUUCAGGUUGAGUGUUUUCUAGUGAGGUAGGAGAUAACAUAUUUAAAUUUUAUAAGCCUUUCUGGAAAAAGGUGAGGGAUAAAUUAAUUUUAAGGCAUUUGUCACAUUAAAUAUGUAUUAUUGAAUUAAAACAUACUUAUUACAACAUACUUAAUGAUGUAAAAGGUAAAAUCCUGCCUGUUCCUCUAUAAUCUCAUUUUCAUGUGCUGUUCAUAUACUGGUAAAGUCUUUUAGACCUCUACUCAUGCAAACACCAAUAUAAAUGCAAACACAUGUAGAAUAAAUGCAAUCAUACUAUAUACAUUGCUCUACGUCUUAAUUUUUAUAUAACGUAUUCUCAGAAUAUAAACCCCCUUCUCCGUAAGUCUAUACAAAUCUAGCCUUUUCUCUUUAAUGUCUAUACGCUAUUUCCUACUAUAGGUGGUAUACCAUUUAUUUAUACCUAUUGUCAGAUAAUCCUGUUAUGUCAAACACAUUUUAAUGUUCCGGAAACUCAUGUAUUUCCACCGCUAGACUAGACUUUUCUGAGAACAGAGAUGAAAGGUUCAAUUCCUCUCUACAUUUCUAACUUUCAGAAUAGCCUUGGGCAAAGAGCAGGGACUCAGUAAUUGCUUCAUGAAUGAACAGUUAGAUGAUGACCACUACAGCCCUACGUAAUUCAAUACGCUCUACAAGAGCUUUCUUUAAAACAAUGAAGGCAUCCUUCUAAAAGGGACUGCUCUUUUUCAGCAUUGGAGAAGUUGUACUCAGAUGCAGAGGGAGGUGGGAAUAAUCACAAUUGAAACAGUUCACAUUUACUUGAGUACUUACUCUGUGCUGCCAAGUGUUCUCAUAGUUUAACACAUUUAAUAAUCAUAGAAAACUUGAGAGAAAGACUCUAUUAUUAUUCUUGUUUCAUAGAAAGGCAAGUUGAGGCACAGAGUGAUGAAGUAACUUGCAGGAGCUUCUCUGGUGUGCAAAGGCUGGGCCGCUGCCCCAGAAGUGUCAUUCACACAUGAAACUGCCUCUCCAAUGGGAAGAAAAAGUGAUCAGUGUUAACUGGAGCUGUGGUGGGAGAUGCUAAGGCAACCAGAGGGUCCCAUGACCCUGAACAUGCACCAACAAGCUCAUUCUCUACACAUGCCCAGAGGUUGCCAACCACCAACUUAAUUUCAUUUUCCUGCCUCUGUGCUUCUUAAAGUUUAUAUGAAAGUUUACCUUAUUUUCCUUUUUCUUUUUUUGUUUUCUUUUUUGAGAUGGAGUCUCACUCUGUCACCCGGGCUGGAGCGCAGUGGCGUGAUCUCAGUUCACCGCAACCUCCACCUCCUGGGUUCAAGUGAUUCUCAUGCCUCAGCCUCCUGAGUAACUGGGAUUACAGGUGCCCGCCACCACACCUGGCUAAUUUCUGUAUGUUUAGUAGAGAUGGGGUUUCACCAUGUUGGCCAGGCUGGUCUUGAAAUCCCGACCUCAAGUGAUCUGCCCACCUUGGCUUCCCAAAGUGUUGGGAUUAGAGGAGCGAGCCACCACACCCGGCCUCUUAUUUAAUUUUAAUA
Long non-coding RNA from Pan troglodytes (chimpanzee), 2130 nucleotides. RefSeq lists it as uncharacterized. The record is from RefSeq and is a predicted model, not a curated record. NCBI's taxonomy places the organism in Eukaryota, Metazoa, Chordata, Mammalia, Primates, Hominidae. The transcript is spliced from 4 exons.